RNAcentral lists this unclassified non-coding RNA (279 nucleotides) under plant metagenome. RNAcentral describes it as "partial contains small subunit ribosomal RNA, internal transcribed spacer 1, and 5.8S ribosomal RNA". The record is from RNAcentral.
UUUCCGUAGGUGAACCUGCGGAAGGAUCAUUGUUGAAUAAUCGAGGUGCAAGGGCUGUCGCUGACCCGAAAGGUCGUGCACGCAGUAUUGCUCUCUCACACAUACAUCUUACCCCUCUUUGCACCACCGCGUGCGUCUUCCUCUGGCUUGUUCGGUGGGGGGCUUACGUUUUUACCUUAUCUUAGUAUGCAGUGUAGAUUGUAUUUUUUGCUGUUGCCAUCACUCUAUCACAACAACAUUCAACAACGGAUCACUUGUCUCCUGCAUCGUUGAAGAACG